RNAcentral lists this ribosomal RNA (465 nucleotides) under uncultured bacterium. RNAcentral describes it as "partial 16S ribosomal RNA". It matches the Rfam family "Bacterial small subunit ribosomal RNA", at positions 339 to 795 of the family's 1533-position model. The record is from RNAcentral.
CUACGGGUCGCUGCAGUGGGGAAUAUUGGACAAUGGGGGAAACCCUGAUCCAGCAAUGCCGCGUGUGUGAAGAAGGCCUGCGGGUUGUAAAGCACUUUCGGUUGGGAGGACUGCUUCUAGCACUAAUAUUGUUGGAAGUUGACGUUACCUUCAGAAGAAGCACCGGGUAACUUCGUGCCAGCAGCCGCGGUAAUACGAAGGGUGCAAGCGUUGUUCGGAUUUAUUGGGCGUAAAGCGCGCGCAGGCGGAUUGGCAAGUCAGAUGUGAAAUCUCGGGGCUCAACCCCGAAACUGCGUCUGAAACUACUGAUCUAGAAUCUUGGAGAGGGAAGGGGAAUUUCUCAUGUAGGGGUAAAAUCCGUAGAGAUGAGAAGGAACACCAGAGGCGAAGGCGCCUUCCUGGACAAGUAUUGACGCUGAGGCGCGAAAGCGUGGGGAGCAAACAGGAUUAGAUACCCGAGUAGUC